UACGUAGGGGGCAAGCGUUGUCCGGAUUUAUUGGGCGUAAAGCGCUCGCAGGCGGCCCGAUGCGUCGUGCGUGAAACACCCCGGCUCAACUGGGGAGGGUCGUGCGAUACGGUCGGGCUUGAGGCCAGUAGGGGGAUGCGGAAUUCCGGGUGUAGUGGUGGAAUGCGUAGAGAUCCGGAGGAACACCAGCGGCGAAGGCGGCAUCCUGGACUGGUACUGAC
RNAcentral lists this ribosomal RNA (221 nucleotides) under uncultured bacterium. RNAcentral describes it as "partial 16S ribosomal RNA". It matches the Rfam family "Bacterial small subunit ribosomal RNA", at positions 524 to 744 of the family's 1533-position model. The record is from RNAcentral.